RNAcentral lists this ribosomal RNA (252 nucleotides) under uncultured bacterium. RNAcentral's name for it is "partial 16S ribosomal RNA". It matches the Rfam family "Bacterial small subunit ribosomal RNA", at positions 524 to 776 of the family's 1533-position model. The record is from RNAcentral.
UACGUAGGGGGCGAGCGUUGUCCGGAAUUAUUGGGCGUAAAGGGUUCGCAGGCGGUCUGAUAAGUCAGAUGUGAAAGGCGUAGGCUUAACCUAUGUAAGCAUUUGAAACUGUCAGACUUGAGUUAAGGAGAGGAAAGUGGAAUUCCUAGUGUAGCGGUGAAAUGCGUAGAUAUUAGGAGGAAUACCAGUGGCGAAGGCGACUUUCUGGACUUAUACUGACGCUGAGGAACGAAAGCGUGGGGAGCAAACAGG